This is a long non-coding RNA of Scleropages formosus (Asian bonytongue), 140 nucleotides long. RefSeq lists it as uncharacterized. NCBI's taxonomy places the organism in Eukaryota, Metazoa, Chordata, Actinopteri, Osteoglossiformes, Osteoglossidae. The transcript has 3 exons. The record is from RefSeq and is a predicted model, not a curated record.
CGAAGGGGUCCCACACUGCUGCCUCUAUUCUGAGCACGUUUUGGUGCCAACUAAUGGCAACAAAUGAAAUUGCAGAUUGAGGCCCUAUGAGAGCUCAGAUGAAGACAUUUCACAUUAGGAUGAACACCUAGGGAAAGCAG